AUUGAACGCUGGCGGCAUGCCUUACACAUGCAAGUCGAACGGCAGCAUGGGUGCUUGCACCUGAUGGCGAGUGGCGAACGGGUGAGUAAUGCAUCGGAACGUACCGGAAGUGGGGAUAACGUAGCGAAAGUUACGCUAAUACCGCAUAUUCUGUGAGCAGGAAAGCGGGGGAUCGCAAGACCUCGCGCUUCCGGAGCGGCCGAUGUCGGAUUAGCUAGUUGGCGGGGUAAAGGCCCACCAAGGCAACGAUCCGUAGCGGGUCUGAGAGGAUGAUCCGCCACACUGGGACUGAGACACGGCCCAGACUCCUACGGGAGGCAGCAGUGGGGAAUUUUGGACAAUGGGCGCAAGCCUGAUCCAGCCAUGCCGCGUGAGUGAAGAAGGCCUUCGGGUUGUAAAGCUCUUUCGGCUGGGAAGAAAUCGCAUCUCCUAAUACGGGGUGUGGAUGACGGUACCAGCAUAAGAAGCACCGGCUAACUACGUG
This 484-nucleotide ribosomal RNA is filed under the name uncultured bacterium. RNAcentral's name for it is "bacterial SSU rRNA". It matches the Rfam family "Bacterial small subunit ribosomal RNA", at positions 30 to 507 of the family's 1533-position model. The record is from RNAcentral.